GAUGAAGAACGCAGCGAAAUGCGAUAAGUAGUGUGAAUUGCAGAAUUCAGUGAAUCAUCGAAUCAUUGAACGCACAUUGCGCCCUUUGGUAUUCCUUAGGGCAUGCCUGUUCGAGCGUCAUUUAAACCUUCAAGCUAAGCUUGGUGUUGGGUGACUGUCCGCUUCACGGCGGACUCGCCUCAAAAUUAUUGGCGGCCGGUACAUUGGCUUCGAGCGCAGCAGAAACGCGAACUCGGGCCCGUCGUAUUGGCUCCCAGAAGCUAUCUUCACAAUUUUGACCUCGGAUCAGGUAGGGAUACCCGCUGAACUUAAGCAUAUCAAUAAGCGGAGGA
RNAcentral lists this unclassified non-coding RNA (332 nucleotides) under soil metagenome. Its description in RNAcentral is "partial contains 5.8S ribosomal RNA, internal transcribed spacer 2, and large subunit ribosomal RNA". The stretch from base 1 to 120 matches the Rfam family "5.8S ribosomal RNA", at positions 35 to 154 of the family's 154-position model. The record is from RNAcentral.